RNAcentral lists this unclassified non-coding RNA (309 nucleotides) under Hevea brasiliensis (rubber tree). The record is from RNAcentral. Lineage: Eukaryota; Viridiplantae; Streptophyta; Magnoliopsida; Malpighiales; Euphorbiaceae.
GAGAGAAAGAGAGAAAGAGAGAGAACAGUAAUGUCAUGACUGACUGAUAGCAUACUUUGUUGCUAAGUUAAUUUUAAAGUUUAGUUAGCUUACCAGUAUUAUUAUCAUUAUUAUACAUGUAUUUUUCUUUUUUUACAUAUAUAUUUAUGUUGUUUUUCUAAUUUGGCACUCGACGUCGCAGAACAAAAAUCAGAUAAGACAUGUAUGUCAUAAUCCCAUCGUAAUUAGUAGUAUUUUUUCUCAUUAUUUAUUUUCCACUUAGCCAUUACAUAACCUCUCACAUGCUAUGUGGGUGAGCCCACAUCUUCA